UACUGGCCCCAAAUCCCAUCCAUGUGUGUGCUCAAAGUUGGAAACACGUCGGCCUAGUCUCUUAAGGAAUUUCCCAAUGUGGAUCCUGAAUGUUAGAGUAUAUAUAUCUGGAGGAAAAGGAAACUUGACUGUUCCACUUACUUCAAACCACCAGACUUGCUGGCAAUAUGCCACGACCUGGAACCUUGAUUCGUCCGUUGCAAACCAGUUCCAAUGUCUCCUGUCUUCACUACUUGUUAUUGACAUUGCUUUUGAAGAGAUUGACAUGCAUAUCCUUCCACUUAUUUUGUCCAACCACACAUCCUUAUUAUCUUCGUCAAACGAGAAGGGACGAGAGAGAAGGGCAAAUAUACUCUUCUUCGAAAGACCUUCGUAUCUCCAAGGAGGCAAAAGAUCAAGCAUAUGGUGGUAAUUAGAAGGAAGUUUAGAUUCCCACACAGCAUCAGAAGAAGCAGCACCGCUAAAUGCCCGGUUCAGCCGAGCGAGAUUACAAAUCUCCGGCGGCGUUAGGUACAUGAAAACACAGGCCACGCAACUUUCCGGUAUGUCGCCUAGCCCCGUUUUACCGGUAACCGUACCAUUCUCCGCCGUGUUGGACAACGAUGCCCCCAUGCAAUUUUGCCUGUUUAUGUAUCGGAAAACAGGGCAAUUUCGGGUCAAGUCAUGGUUCUGUCGCGGCGGUGCACGGCGGAAAUGGACCGGUG
Molecule: unclassified non-coding RNA, 704 nt
Filed under: Hevea brasiliensis (rubber tree)
Lineage: Eukaryota; Viridiplantae; Streptophyta; Magnoliopsida; Malpighiales; Euphorbiaceae
Source: RNAcentral